UACGAAGGGGGCUAGCGUUGCUCGGAAUUACUGGGCGUAAAGCGCACGUAGGCGGCUUUCUAAGUCGGGGGUGAAAUCCUGGAGCUCAACUCCAGAACUGCCUUCGAUACUGGAAAGCUCGAGUCCGGGAGAGGUGAGUGGAACUGCGAGUGUAGAGGUGAAAUUCGUAGAUAUUCGCAAGAACACCAGUGGCGAAGGCGGCUCUCUGGCCCGGUACUGACGCUGAGGUGCGAAAGCGUGGGGAGCAAACAGG
Molecule: ribosomal RNA, 253 nt
Filed under: uncultured bacterium
Lineage: Bacteria
Description: partial 16S ribosomal RNA
Rfam family: Bacterial small subunit ribosomal RNA
Source: RNAcentral